Molecule: ribosomal RNA, 110 nt
Filed under: Pogona vitticeps (central bearded dragon)
Lineage: Eukaryota; Metazoa; Chordata; Lepidosauria; Squamata; Agamidae
Source: RNAcentral
UCUGCCACCCUGAACAUACCUGCUCUAAUCUUCUUUCAGAGGCUAAGCAGGGUCAGGCCUAGUUAAUAGUUGAAUAGGAGCCCACUAUGGAACACCAGGCAUCUGCAGGC